UGGGGAAUAUUGGACAAUGGGCGAAAGCCUGAUCCAGCCAUGCCGCGUGUGUGAAGAAGGUCUUCGGAUUGUAAAGCACUUUAAGUUGGGAGGAAGGGCAGUAAGUUAAUACCUUGCUGUUUUGACGUUACCGACAGAAUAAGCACCGGCUAACUCUGUGCCAGCAGCCGCGGUAAUACAGAGGGUGCAAGCGUUAAUCGGAAUUACUGGGCGUAAAGCGCGCGUAGGUGGUUUGUUAAGUUGGAUGUGAAAGCCCCGGGCUCAACCUGGGAACUGCAUCCAAAACUGGCAAGCUAGAGUACGGUAGAGGGUGGUGGAAUUUCCUGUGUAGCGGUGAAAUGCGUAGAUAUAGGAAGGAACACCAGUGGCGAAGGCGACCACCUGGACUGAUACUGACACUGAGGUGCGAAAGCGUGGGGAUCAAACAGGAUUAGAUACCCCGGUAGUCCCUGAGCGGGCUGGCAAGGCGCAU
Molecule: ribosomal RNA, 472 nt
Filed under: uncultured bacterium
Lineage: Bacteria
Description: bacterial SSU rRNA
Rfam family: Bacterial small subunit ribosomal RNA
Source: RNAcentral